ACAGGGAUUCCCUUAGUAACGGCGAGCGAACAGGGAAGAGUCCAGCGCCGAAUUUCACGUCCGUACCGGGCGUUUGAAAGAUGUGGCGUUUAGGAGGGAGCGUGCCGGAGGUUGACCAUGCAGCAAGUCCCCCUGACCGGGGCUCUUACCCAGAGCGGGUGCGAGGCCCAUAGUUGCUAAGUCUCCUUCGGAUGCGACCUCUUGGGAGUCGGGUUGCUUGGGAGUGCAGCCCUAAUCGGGUGGUAAACUCCACCUAAGACUAAAUACGGCCGUGAGACCGAUAGCAAACAAGUACCGUGAGGGAAAGUUGCAAAGAACUUUGAAGAGAGAGUUCAAGAGUACGUGAAACUGCUCAGAGGCAAACGGGUGGGCCCUCGAAAUCCUCUUGCGGGGGGAUUCAGUCAGGAGAGAAGGAGGUGUUCGCUGGUUGAUUCAGACGGACCCUUUCCAAGGCCGGGCCGGCAGCACGGUCUCCUUCUCACCUGACGCAUUUCCUCCCGCACUAUGGACGCCGCAGCCGGUUGGGUAGCUGCGCGAGUCGGCCAUAAGGACGGGCGCGGCAGGUGACCGGGGGCGUUGCUUCGGCGCGCCGCCGGUUGUUAGCCAGCUCGUCCGUGGCGCGACACCCGACCGAGGUUGUGAGUUCCCUUAACGGGAACGUGCCGUCCCCUCCCCACGAGUAGCGGGCGCUCCGGCAGGUGCAUCGCGGUGCCGUCUCGUCACUCUUCGCAGUGGCCGAAUGGUCCGAGUUCGCUGCUGGUCGGAAGUCGUCCCGCGGGGGUUUUCCCGGGGCUAGCGGCGAGUAGGU
RNAcentral lists this ribosomal RNA (808 nucleotides) under Diguetia catamarquensis. RNAcentral describes it as "eukaryotic LSU rRNA". It matches the Rfam family "Eukaryotic large subunit ribosomal RNA", at positions 68 to 634 of the family's 3401-position model. The record is from RNAcentral. Lineage: Eukaryota; Metazoa; Arthropoda; Arachnida; Araneae; Diguetidae.